RNAcentral lists this ribosomal RNA (447 nucleotides) under uncultured bacterium. RNAcentral's name for it is "bacterial SSU rRNA". It matches the Rfam family "Bacterial small subunit ribosomal RNA", at positions 330 to 793 of the family's 1533-position model. The record is from RNAcentral.
CCCAGACUCCUACGGGAGGCAGCAGUGGGGGAUAUUGCACAAUGGGGGAAACCCUGAUGCAGCGACGCCGCGUGAGUGAAGAAGUAUUUCGGUAUGUAAAGCUCUAUCAGCAGGGACGAAAAUGACGGUACCUGAGUAAGAAGCCCCGGCUAACUACGUGCCAGCAGCCGCGGUAAUACGUAGGGGGCAAGCGUUAUCCGGAUUUACUGGGUGUAAAGGGAGCGUAGACGGCAGCACAAGUCUGGAGUGAAAUGCCGGGGCUUAACCCCGGAACUGCUUUGGAAACUGUGCAGCUAGAGUGCAGGAGAGGUAAGUGGAAUUCCUAGUGUAGCGGUGAAAUGCGUAGAUAUUAGGAGGAACACCAGUGGCGAAGGCGGCUUUCUGGACUGUAACUGACACUGAGGUACGAAAGCGUGGGGAGCAAACAGGAUUAGAUACCCCAGUAUG